RNAcentral lists this ribosomal RNA (301 nucleotides) under uncultured bacterium. Its description in RNAcentral is "partial 16S ribosomal RNA". It matches the Rfam family "Bacterial small subunit ribosomal RNA", at positions 509 to 807 of the family's 1533-position model. The record is from RNAcentral.
CAGUCGCCGCGGUAAAACGUAGGUCCCGAGCGUUGUCCGGAUUUAUUGGGCGUAAAGCGAGCGCAGGCGGUUAGAUAAGUCUGAUGUGAAAGCCCCCGGCUCAACCGGGGAGGGUCAUUGGAAACUGGGAAACUUGAGUGCAGAAGAGGAGAGUGGAAUUCCACGUGUAGCGGUGAAAUGCGUAGAGAUGUGGAGGAACACCAGUGGCGAAGGCGACUCUCUGGUCUGUAACUGACGCUGAGGAGCGAAAGCGUGGGGAGCGAACAGGAUUAGAUACCCGGGUAGUCCCUGUCUCUUAUAC